Molecule: long non-coding RNA, 1241 nt
Organism: Vanessa atalanta (red admiral)
Lineage: Eukaryota; Metazoa; Arthropoda; Insecta; Lepidoptera; Nymphalidae
Exons: 4
Source: RefSeq, a predicted model, not a curated record
GAUGGCAGCACUGCGUUGUCCACGUCGUUAACCUUCUUACUUUACAUACUCUUUGUUCUUACUUGUGCAGGCGCAGGUCACCUACCGAGUUACCGACACUUAUCAGCUUAAAACGAUAAAAUCAUUUAUACUUCACUAUACACUAAUUAUAUGUAAACGGAGGGUUACUACGUCAUCAAUGUAUAUUUCCAUUUUUGAGGGGUUCAGGUUACUAAACCUCAUUGUACAAUAACCGGCCACGUGCAGUAUCUGACAAGUAUUGGCGAAUUUUCAUUUAUUUGAACACUCCUGAGGGCCUGUUUUUUUAUAUACUUUGAAAAAUAUAUUCCAAUAAAUAAAUACAUAUUGGUUGGUGGACUCAACUGAAGAGUUUUGCUGAGUUGGAGCUGCUGUUUUGUGGAUGAAUUGCUGCCUGACCAGUGCUGCUGCCGCUGCUUCUGCUGCUGCCGCUGCUUCUGCUUCUGCUGCUGCCGCUGCUUCUGCUUCUGCUGCUGCUGCUGUCAUUGAUUGCCGCUUUGCACUGCUUUUGUACUUGCACUGAUACAACAGUUUCUUUCUGGACGCUGCGUUCAGGGUUUGCACUAUCCUGCUUAUUUUUUUUUCUUAAGUCGAAAUUUAAACUGAAUGCCAACUAAUAUCAUUACUCGUGUUGCUUAGUUUGUCUUGCUUAAUUACAAAUGCUUGCUUAGCAAAAAUGGUUGAUAUAUAUUACACGGAUGGUUUACUUAGUUAGCACCUAUUAACAGAUACCAUCAAAGGCCACCCCUCUGAUUUUUUAUGUAAUUUAAAAUAUUUUUAAUUGAAUUAUUUCAUAAAAAUACUAUUUUUAAUAAAGACUUGUUUAAACAAGAAAUAAAUGUUUGCCCCCGUGACAAUAUACAUCAAAUAACUUAAAUGUAAUCUAUGUACCUCUGUAGGAAAUAUCCAUGUCCCUAGUACAUUUAUUAAUCAAGUAGGCGUUCCAAGAGGUGCACAAUAUGAUGAUUUAUAGGUAUCAAUACUACACAUAUAAGGAAACACACUGUUGAUAAUACAUUUACGCGCAUUAUAAUGUUAUUAAUUUAACAUAAAAAUAUAUUUUGUUCUCAUAUAAUUGCGAGGGAAGAGUAAAGUUAGAAUAACUUAUUUAAACAAACAAUGAAUAACAUUAUAAUACAGAAGUGAUGGCUAUACUUAAUUUUAACUUGAAAAUUAUCCUAAUAUUAUAUUAUUUUAUCUUAACUAGCUGUGCCCGCGACUUC